Molecule: ribosomal RNA, 253 nt
Filed under: uncultured bacterium
Lineage: Bacteria
Description: partial 16S ribosomal RNA
Rfam family: Bacterial small subunit ribosomal RNA
Source: RNAcentral
AACGUAGGAGGCAAGCGUUAUCCGGAGUUACUGGGCGUAAAGCGCGCGUAGGCGGCUUUGUAAGUUAGAGGUGAAAGCCCGGAGCUCAACUCCGGAAUUGCCUUUAAGACUGCAUCGCUAGAAUCAUGGAGAGGUGAGUGGAAUUCCGAGUGUAGAGGUGAAAUUCGUAGAUAUUCGGAAGAACACCAGUGGCGAAGGCGACUCACUGGACAUGUAUUGACGCUGAGGUGCGAAAGCGUGGGGAGCAAACAGG